CUACGGGUCGCAGCAGUGAGGAAUAUUGCACAAUGGGGGGAACCCUGAUGCAGCAACGCCGCGUGGAGGAGGACGCAUUUCGGGGGGUAAACUCCUUUUAUAUGGCAAGAAAAUGACGGUAGCAUAUGAAUAAGCACCGGCUAACUCCGUGCCAGCAGCCGCGUGUAAUACGGAGGGUGCAAGCGUUACUCGGAAUCACUGGGCGUAAAGGACGCGUAGGCGGGUUGGAAAGUCAGGUGUGAAAUCCUACAGCUUAACUGUAGAACUGCACUUGAAACUUCUAAUCUAGAGUAUGGGAGGGGGAGAUGGAAUUAGUGGUGUAGGGGUAACAUCCGUAGAUAUCACUAGGAAUACCUAAAGCGAAGGCGAUCUCCUGGAACAUUACUGACGCUAAGGCGUGAAAGCGUGGGGAGCAAACAGGAUUAGAUACCCCAGUAGUC
Molecule: ribosomal RNA, 440 nt
Filed under: uncultured bacterium
Lineage: Bacteria
Description: partial 16S ribosomal RNA
Rfam family: Bacterial small subunit ribosomal RNA
Source: RNAcentral